Molecule: long non-coding RNA, 208 nt
Filed under: Elaeis guineensis (African oil palm)
Lineage: Eukaryota; Viridiplantae; Streptophyta; Magnoliopsida; Arecales; Arecaceae
Description: long non-coding RNA (EGUI_LNC056007)
Source: RNAcentral
AAUGGUGGAAGAUCAUUGGACUUAAUAUUUAUAAAAAAUUUUGGGUCUAGGUCUCAUCUAAUCAGUCAUCACAUGACUGAUCUAAUUGGCAUGGGCUAAAUCAACCUGUCAAGCAACUAUAUUGAGACUCAAUCUUCCAAAUUGGCCAGAUAAGUGGAGAUCGGUGGGGGUCUCCCUAUUGCUUUCCUUAGACAUCAAUAAAUUGGCU